This 414-nucleotide ribosomal RNA is filed under the name uncultured bacterium. RNAcentral's name for it is "bacterial SSU rRNA". It matches the Rfam family "Bacterial small subunit ribosomal RNA", at positions 355 to 786 of the family's 1533-position model. The record is from RNAcentral.
UGAGGGAUAUUGGGCAAUGGGGGAAACCCUGACCCAGCGACGCCGCGUGAGGGAAGACGGUCUUCGGAUUGUAAACCUCUGUCUUUGGGGACGAAAAAGGACGGUACCCAAGGAGGAAGCUCCGGCUAACUACGUGCCAGCAGCCGCGGUAAUACGUAGGGAGCGAGCGUUGUCCGGAAUUACUGGGUGUAAAGGGAGCGUAGGCGGGAAGGCAAGUUGGAUGUGAAAACUGUGGGCUCAAUCUACAGACUGCAUUCAAAACUGUUUUUCUUGAGUGAAGUAGAGGCAAGCGGAAUUCCUAGUGUAGCGGUGAAAUGCGUAGAUAUUAGGAGGAACACCAGUGGCGAAGGCGGCUUGCUGGGCUUUUACUGACGCUGAGGCUCGAAAGUGUGGGGAGCAAACAGGAUUAGUACC